Long non-coding RNA from Quercus robur (English oak), 602 nucleotides. RefSeq lists it as uncharacterized. The transcript has 3 exons. NCBI's taxonomy places the organism in Eukaryota, Viridiplantae, Streptophyta, Magnoliopsida, Fagales, Fagaceae. The record is from RefSeq and is a predicted model, not a curated record.
UACUUCAAGGUUUUCCUUAGGGGGGUCCUGAAAUUAUAUAGAGCUCUAAUAAGACUGCGUAGCGAAGAUACACCUCCAGAGAUAAGGAAUAGCAGAAGGUUUUACCCAUAUUUUAAGGAUUGUGUUGGAGCAAUAGAUGGUACACAUGUUCGUGCAUCUGUGCCACCUGAAAUACAAGGAAGAUUUCGUGGUCGCAAAGAUGGAACCACGCAAAAUGUGUUAGCUGCCAUUAGUUUUGACUUAAAGUUCACUUAUGUGUUGGCUGGAUGGGAAGGCAGUGCACAUGAUUCACGUGUAUUAAAUGAUGCAUUUGCUAGGCCAGGGGGAUUUUCAAUUCCCAAUGGUAAAUUUUAUCUUGGUGAUGCUGGGUAUGGUAAUAAAAAUGGAAUAUUGUCACCGUAUUGGAGUGUACGAUAUCACUUGAAAGAGUUUAGUGAUCGUCCUCCUGAGAAUGCGCAAGAAUUGUUCAACCUCCGACACUCUUCAUUGAGAACUACCAUUGAGCGAGGGUUUGGAGUGGUGAAAAAACGUUUUCGAGUGUUGGAUGCAGAACCAUAUUGGUCUUUCCCAACCCAAGUGAAAGUAGUGUUAGCGUGUUGUAU